UCCAGACUCCUACGGGAGGCAGCAGUGAGGAAUAUUGGUCAAUGGGCUUACGCCUGAACCAGCCAAGUCGCGUGAGGGAAGACUGCCCUAUGGGUUGUAAACCUCUUUUGUCAGGGAGCAACGCCGGCUACGUGUAGCCGGACUGAGAGUACCUGAAGAAAAAGCAUCGGCUAACUCCGUGCCAGCAGCCGCGGUAAUACGGAGGAUGCGAGCGUUAUCCGGAUUUAUUGGGUUUAAAGGGAGCGUAGGUGGAUUGUUAAGUCAGUUGUGAAAGUUUGCGGCUCAACCGUAAAAUUGCAGUUGAAACUGGCAGUCUUGAGUACAGUAGAGGUGGGCGGAAUUCGUGGUGUAGCGGUGAAAUGCUUAGAUAUCACGAAGAACUCCGAUUGCGAAGGCAGCUCACUGGACUGCAACUGACACUGAGGCUCGAAAGUGUGGGUAUCAAACAGGAUUAGAUACCCCUGUA
Molecule: ribosomal RNA, 466 nt
Filed under: uncultured bacterium
Lineage: Bacteria
Description: bacterial SSU rRNA
Rfam family: Bacterial small subunit ribosomal RNA
Source: RNAcentral